UAGAAAUCUAUUGAGUGUCCUACAUGUC
Molecule: non-coding RNA, 28 nt
Filed under: Mus musculus (house mouse)
Lineage: Eukaryota; Metazoa; Chordata; Mammalia; Rodentia; Muridae
Source: RNAcentral